RNAcentral lists this ribosomal RNA (456 nucleotides) under Encarsia sp. P62. Its description in RNAcentral is "eukaryotic LSU rRNA". Lineage: Eukaryota; Metazoa; Arthropoda; Insecta; Hymenoptera; Aphelinidae. The record is from RNAcentral.
CCUGAGAAACCCAAAAGAUCGAAUGGGGAGAUUCAUCGUCAGCCGCUUUGGCUUCCGUGUGGUUUGCGAUGAUCGGGGCCUCGGCUCUGUGUCACGCAAUCACUGCGGUUAUGUCCGAAGGGGUCGGCGUGCACUUCUCCCCUAGUAGGACGUCGCGAUUCGUUGGGUGUCGGUUUACGGACUGGAAGGUCGUCUGACGAGUCUCGUUCACGCGUGUACUCGUCAGACCUCCGGUUUCCCAACCGGCUGCCCGGCGAUAUAAAACGAUAAUUAAUGGUAUUGGGCCGCAUUUAUGCGUUCAGGCUCGUCGGCAGGUACGCCUCGCUCGGAUUUACGGACCUAGCGCCGUUGCCGGGUGCUUGGUGGACUGUUCGCCGACGAUGUCCUCGGACUGGCUCUUAAUAUUCGAACGAAUAUACCGAUCGGCGACGCUACUGCUUUGGGUACUUUCAGGCU